This 254-nucleotide ribosomal RNA is filed under the name uncultured bacterium. RNAcentral describes it as "partial 16S ribosomal RNA". It matches the Rfam family "Bacterial small subunit ribosomal RNA", at positions 524 to 776 of the family's 1533-position model. The record is from RNAcentral.
UACAGAGACUGCAAGCGUUGUUCGGAGUUACUGGGCGUAAAGGGUGUGUAGGCGGUUCUUUAAGUUUGGUGUGAAAUCUCCCGGCUCAACCGGGAGGGUGCGCCGAAUACUGAGGGACUUGGAGUGCGGGAGAGGAAAGUGGAAUUCCUGGUGUAGCGGUGAAAUGCGUAGAUAUCAGGAGGAACACCGGUGGUGUAGACGGCUUUCUGGACCGUAACUGACGCUGAGACACGAAAGCGUGGGUAGCAAACAGG